CAUCUUACCGGGCAGCAUUAGA
RNAcentral lists this microRNA (22 nucleotides) under Daphnia pulex (common water flea). Its description in RNAcentral is "Dpu-Mir-8_5p* (star (passenger))". RNAcentral also lists the same sequence under 22 other names. Lineage: Eukaryota; Metazoa; Arthropoda; Branchiopoda; Diplostraca; Daphniidae. The record is from RNAcentral.